RNAcentral lists this long non-coding RNA (3184 nucleotides) under Marmota monax (woodchuck). Lineage: Eukaryota; Metazoa; Chordata; Mammalia; Rodentia; Sciuridae. The record is from RNAcentral.
AGUGGCGGCUGCCCGCGAAGUCGGUGCCGCCAGGCGGGUGCGGACGCGAGGCGGGGGCCGGAGCCCCGGGCGGACGCGGAGCCGCCAGGGCAGCGGUGGCGGCGAGCGUUGCCAUGCCAGUGUGCAGUGUUUGUUGCCUGCGGUUAUUUUAGGACUAAGUGGUUUUCUGAAAAGUUACUUGGGAGAGAGGAAGCCGCCCGGAUCGUCAGGAGCCCCUUCCCUGGUGUGUGCAGGAAAUGGGUUGAUCUUUCCCACGGGCGCACAGCCGAAUCGAUGCCCGGUGGACUUUAAAAAUAAAUGCGGCACCCCGAAGCCCCGAGCAGCGAGGUGACGCCUGCGUGACGGGUUUCAGGUGUCAGACUCCGUGUGCGCGGAGAAAAAUAGAAGCGGGGCACCGAAGUACUUGAUAUGCUCAAGCUGUCUUCGUUUUGCCAGGAGCUUGGAGCCCGUCGGAGUGGAGCUGGUUAAAGAUGCCUGGGUUGUUAGGUAAUCACGUUGACCCCGGGCCACCUACCAAAGUCACUCGAAGACUGCUACCAGCCAGAACCUUGCAGGUUGGGAAUAAACGGUGCUUUGGCUAAUGGUUUGUCUUUUUUAGUCUUCCACGACCAUACGUUUGCAACCUGUUUACGGGACGAUAGAAUGGAUUGUCUAUAGUUAAAACUACUCUCCACAAAAUUACUUGGCCAUGAUCAGGCACUAGCUCCGACCUACCGAGUGUCUAUGUCUGAACUCUGUGUGGAAAUUUCCAAUAUAAUAGUUUCAAGUUGAUGUGGGAUUUUUUUUUUCCAGCAUAAGUCUAGUGUAAGCAGAUACCAAGUGGGUAAAAUUUAAAUCUCAUCCAAGAAAGCUUCCUGGUUUGUGAGAGGUGCAGACGGUGGUAGUGGAGGAAAUGCCCGAAGGACAAGAGAUGGCAGCUGGCAGACUCAGCAUGCACAAACUUGCUCCUCACCCCUAAGCAUUUCUGAUACGUGGGUGCUUCAUCUGUUGGUUAUGGAUCUUUGGUUGGUUGUCACUUUUUUAAAAAGUUCUCUCAACCGAGGACCCUCACUUUGAAAUUGAGUCUUUGUGGCAUGUAGCCAGGGUAGGUUUCCAGUACAUGAUGUAAGGGGAGAUUCCUUGGGAAUCUUGUUAAUUCUUUCGAUGCACUCACUUUUGUAACUGGUCCUGUUCUUUUAGAUCUCUUUUACAUUUUGGGCCCAUUGGUCAUUACUGACAUAUGUCAGUAUACAGUCUUGUAAUGGAUGCUUAGUUGUAGUAACCUUUUUUCUUGUGACAUAUAAAUAAAUUUGUGUUUUUCUUCUUUCCAUUUCUCUUAAAGGAAACUGUAGAAUUGGGCAGAUCAGCACUUACUCAGCAUAUCCCCCUCCUGUAGGUCUUGUUGACCUUGGUGGCAUCCUGGAGGUCAUGUAUUCAUGGAGAUAAACAGUUCUUGAACAGUUUACUCCAGCUGAUAAAAGACAAAUGGGAAAAUGACUUGACAAAUGCAUAUCUUGAUUUGUUUUGAAAAUCAUUUUUACUCAGCAUUUAUUGCAAUCUCUGCCAAAAAUAUCCUUUGGUAAUUUUUUUUGGAAAUCUAUUUCUAGUUCACACUUAAAAAUCAAUUUAGUUUUCAACUUUUUGUAUUGUUUGUAUAUUCUGUCAUGGAAACAAUUGGUUUGGGGGGGUGACAUUGUAGAGCUUCCUUCAGGGGUAAUAGGACAGUUGUGCUGGGGUGAAUUUUUUGGCUUAUGAAAGCAGCUGUGCUCUAAGAUAUUUGAUAUUUAAAGUUUAAAGUUACAAAACAAUUAGCGGUUAAAUGAAAAUUUCACAAAAGAGAGUCAGUAAAAGGUACUGUCAAAUAAUCCCUUUAUAUGGUACUUAUCAAAGUUUGUUUGAUUUAUGAAAAAUCAGUUGGCAUACAAUUUAGGGACCAACUUUUGAUGUAUGUAGGGGUUAUCAGUGUGUUCCUUAAAUUGUUCCUUCCCUAAAAUCAUCUAGGGGCAAAGCAAUAUUGCCCCAUAUUUAUACAUUACCUAUUAAUGUUUUAACUGAAUGCAAAAUUUGUCAUCUGAUUUAUGCCGUACUAUUUAAGGAGUACACUGAAACCUAAUUAAAAUACUUUUCACCAUUGAGUAAAAUUUUAUGGUCAGGUUUGUCGGGAAUCCCAUCUAAGGUAGUGUACUUACUGUGGUAUCAAAGGCCUUCUUGUCAGACACUCCCCAGGACUGUGAUCCUGCAGCAGAGGCCAACCAGUGGUUAUACCCAGACUUCAGCAAAAUCAAAAUAAAUAGAUUUGGUCAAAAGUCCACAGCAGUAAAAACCGUUACCUUGAAAUUUUCUCUAGGUGCAAAUUCUUCAGAAUUAAAGGCUUGAUUUUUUCCUAAGCGGCAAUUCUAUUUGGGUCACUUGAGAAAAAGGCCAUUUUGAUGAAAGGACAAGGACUGAAUACUCUUUUAAACUUUCAAGGGACCUUUUUUUUUUUUUCCUUUUUGUGAGAGUUUGUUGCGUUCAUUUGGAGUUACAGGAGGUAUUGGAUAAUGUACUUGGGGAGUUUAAUUCGGAUAUAUUUUGCUUUGGUUAUGUUAAAAAAAAAAAAAAAGGAACUUGAGCCAAUGUGAAUAGAACUUACUUAUGGGUUAACUUACACUUUAUGUUGGGAUAAGGAGGAAAAAAGAGAAGUGGCCACAAACUUUACUAAAAGAUAACUAAUCACGUUUGGUUUGUUUUAUACUAUUCAUGCCUCCCUUGGGUAAGAGUGACACCCUUAUCACCUUUCAAUUGUAGAGAAAUUUUGUUUUUAGAGAAGGGAUUUGAAAAAUAAAGAGCCCAGCAUGCAAGCAUAGAAGUGUUAGAAGUGUCUUUAGAGUGCUUAAUGGUAUUUUGUUAUUGUACCUUAGAUAGAAAGUAAGGUGUUAAUGCUGAAGUUGAAUCUAGGGUCCAACUUCAGGAUACUGGGCACAGCUUUAUUCUUCUUAGCAUAAUUGAAUAUUAUGAAAACUGAAGGAACAGCUUGAAUGAUGCCAUUGAUUUUUAGGGCAGGCUUUCCAUUUCUCAAGUGAACAAACAUGAAAAAUGAAGAUUGAAGACACUAUGAUAUUAAAAGGAAUAUUUAAAUUUUUUUUAAGUCUGGAUUGUCAAAGGAUUGUAAAUUUCAGAGCAGAAUGAGGUAAAAGAAAUACAUUCCAUUGGAUUUAUGGCUAAU